RNAcentral lists this ribosomal RNA (497 nucleotides) under uncultured bacterium. RNAcentral describes it as "partial 16S ribosomal RNA". It matches the Rfam family "Bacterial small subunit ribosomal RNA", at positions 28 to 507 of the family's 1533-position model. The record is from RNAcentral.
GAUGAACGCUGGCGGCGUGCCUAAUACAUGCAAGUCGAGCGAACAGACGAGGAGCUUGCUCCUCUGACGUUAGCGGCGGACGGGUGAGUAACACGUGGAUAACCUACCUAUAAGACUGGGAUAACUUCGGGAAACCGGAGCUAAUACCGGAUAAUAUAUUGAACCGCAUGGUUCAAUAGUGAAAGACGGUUUUGCUGUCACUUAUAGAUGGAUCCGCGCCGCAUUAGCUAGUUGGUAAGGUAACGGCUUACCGCGGCGACGAUGCGUAGCCGACCUGAGAGGGUGUUCGGCCACACUGGAACUGAGACACGGUCCAGACUCCUACGGGAGGCAGCAGUAGGGAAUCUUCCGCAAUGGGCGAAAGCCUGACGGAGCAACGCCGCGUGAGUGAUGAAGGUCUUCGGAUCGUAAAACUCUGUUAUUAGGGAAGAACAAAUGUGUAAGUAACUAUGCACGUCUUGACGGUACCUAAUCAGAAAGCCACGGCUAACUACGUG